UCUUUUUUACGUUGUUCUUUAUUUGGGAAUAUUGGGCAAUGGGCGCAAGCCUGACCCAGCAACGCCGCGUGAAGGAAGAAGGCCCUCGGGUUGUAAACUUCUUUUAUCAAGGACGAAACAAAUGACGGUACUUGAUGAAUAAGCCACGGCUAACUACGUGCCAGCAGCCGCGGUAAUACGUAGGUGGCAAGCGUUAUCCGGAUUUACUGGGUGUAAAGGGCGUGUAGGCGGGACUGCAAGUCAGACGUGAAAA
RNAcentral lists this ribosomal RNA (253 nucleotides) under uncultured bacterium. RNAcentral's name for it is "partial 16S ribosomal RNA". It matches the Rfam family "Bacterial small subunit ribosomal RNA", at positions 333 to 600 of the family's 1533-position model. The record is from RNAcentral.